CAAGCGGGCCAGGCGAUCGCGCGCUUCGGCGUGAGGAAAGUCCGGGCUCCCAAGGGCAAGAUGCCAGCUAACAGCUGGGCGGGGCGACCCGACGGAAAGUGCCACAGAAAAGAAAACUCCCCUGCUUCGCGGCAGGAGAAAAGCUGAAACGGUGCGGUAAGAGCGCACCAGCGCGCCGGCAACGGCGCGGCUUGGAAAACCCCAUCUGGAGCAAGCGCAAAUAGGAGUGCGAUACGGCCGCCCUUCCGUGCAUUCGGGUUGCGUGCUCGAGGCGCACGGUGACGUGCGUCCAAGAUAAAUGAUCGUCCGCGACAGAACCCGGCUUACAAGCCCACUUGCUCU
RNAcentral lists this RNase P RNA (342 nucleotides) under Candidatus Aveggerthella stercoripullorum. Its description in RNAcentral is "RNase P RNA component class A". It matches the Rfam family "Bacterial RNase P class A". Rfam says of the family: Ribonuclease P (RNase P) is a ubiquitous endoribonuclease, found in archaea, bacteria and eukarya as well as chloroplasts and mitochondria. Lineage: Bacteria; Bacillati; Actinomycetota; Coriobacteriia; Eggerthellales; Eggerthellaceae. The record is from RNAcentral.